RNAcentral lists this ribosomal RNA (487 nucleotides) under uncultured Desulfobulbus sp. RNAcentral's name for it is "bacterial SSU rRNA". It matches the Rfam family "Bacterial small subunit ribosomal RNA", at positions 901 to 1382 of the family's 1533-position model. Lineage: Bacteria; Pseudomonadati; Thermodesulfobacteriota; Desulfobulbia; Desulfobulbales; Desulfobulbaceae. The record is from RNAcentral.
UUAAAGGAAUUGACGGGGGCCCGCACAAGCGGUGGAGUAUGUGGUUUAAUUCGAUGCAACGCGAAGAACCUUACCUGGUCUUGACAUCCCGGAGACCCUUAGGAAACUAGGGGGUGCUUCCAUCUGGAAGAAUCUGGAGACAGGUGCUGCAUGGCUGUCGUCAGCUCGUGUCGUGAGAUGUUGGGUUAAGUCCCGCAACGAGCGCAACCCUUGCCUUUAGUUGCCAGCAGUUCGGCUGGGCACUCUAAAGGGACUGCCGGUGUUAAACCGGAGGAAGGUGGGGAUGACGUCAAGUCCUCAUGGCCUUUAUGACCUGGGCUACAAACGUGAUACAAUGGCUGGAACAAAGGGAUGCGAAGCAGUGAUGUGGAGCGAAACCCAUAAAAACAGUCUCAGUUCGGAUUGAAGUCUGCAACUCGACUUCAUGAAGUCGGAAUCGCUAGUAAUCGCGGAUCAGAACGCCGCGGUGAAUACGUUCUCGGGGUUU